AGGCAAAGGCCCUGAAAAAGUCCAAUAUGGAGGCCAAGUGGCCAAAAUAUUGGGAGAUUUUGGAACAAGAAGGAGAUAAACUUAAAUUGCAGAGCUUUGAAAAACUAAAAGAUAGAGUGCGAGACUGGUUGCAUUAUUACCAAAUAAGAGAGGUUUAUAAUUUGGAUAGAAAAAUUGGCUUCCAGGUGGAAAAAUCAAAGUUGGAAACAGAACUGUUAGAUUCCAAAACUAAAACACUUUCAAGAAUGUAUAACUUGCUGCUAAAAUGGAAUACUCAGGAUGAAAUGGUAAAAUCUGCUAUGAUUAAAUGGGCACAGGAUGUUGGACAUAACAUUAUGUUUGCUGACUGGGAACGGUUAUGGACCACGGGUAUGAAGUUUACGGCAUGUAAUGCCUUAAGAGAGAAUAUUAUGAAAAUGAUAUACAGGUGGUACAUGACCCCAGUCAAGCUUGCAAAAAUCUAUCAUUUGCCCGAUAAUAAAUGUUGGAAAUGUAAAGAAACUGAAGGUACAUUCUUUCACCUUUGGUGGACGUGCCCAAAGAUUAAGGCUUUCUGGGAAAGGAUAUAUAAUGAGUUGAAAAAGGUAUUUAAGUAUACCUUCUUAAAGAAACCAGAGGCCUUUCUCCUGGGCAUUGUUGGCCAAUUGGUGCCAAAGAAGGAUAGAACUUUCUUUAUGUAUGCAACAGCAGCAGCAAGGAUACUUAUCGCAAAGUAUUGGAAGACACAAGACUUACCCACUCUGGAAGAAUGGCAGAUGAAGGUAAUCGAAUAUAUGGAAUUGGCGGAAAUGACUGGCAGAAUCCGGGACCAGGGAGAAGAGUCGGUGGAAGAAGAUUGGAAGAAAUUUAAAGACUAUCUACAGAAAUACUAUAAAAUUAAUGAAUGUUAAAUUGAGGUCUGAUUGAAAAUAACUGGUAUUGGCAAAAGCCUCGCGUUUAAGAGUAUGGAAUAUUUGUUUGAUAAGGUUGUAAAAAUACCUAUAUAUAAAUAGAUUAAGCUUCUUGAGUUAAGAUAAAGGAAGGAGGGUAAGGAUUUGCUGAAAGGAGUUUCUAAAAGGAAAUACAAGUGGGGAGGUGCGGGGAAGUCAAAGAACCAAGGAAAGAUUAGAAGGUUAAAUGAAAUUAUAAAUUUUUAAAUUUUUCUGUUUUAUUGUUAUUUUUUGUUUUCCUUUUGUUACUGUUAUUGUUGUUUUUUGUUUUUGAAAACCUGUAUUUUUUGUAUGUUUUGGAAUUUUUGUAAAACCAAUAAAUAUUAUAUU
RNAcentral lists this long non-coding RNA (1259 nucleotides) under Podarcis lilfordi (Lilford's wall lizard). Lineage: Eukaryota; Metazoa; Chordata; Lepidosauria; Squamata; Lacertidae. The record is from RNAcentral.